This 425-nucleotide ribosomal RNA is filed under the name uncultured bacterium. RNAcentral describes it as "partial 16S ribosomal RNA". It matches the Rfam family "Bacterial small subunit ribosomal RNA", at positions 354 to 796 of the family's 1533-position model. The record is from RNAcentral.
GUGGGGAAUCUUAGACAAUGGGGGAAACCCUGAUCUAGCCAUGCCGCGUGAUCGAUGAAGGCCUUAGGGUUGUAAAGAUCUUUCAGGUGGGAAGAUAAUGACUGUACCACCAGAAGAAGCCCCGGCUAACUCCGUGCCAGCAGCCGCGGUAAUACGGAGGGGGCUAGCGUUGUUCGGAAUUACUGGGCGUAAAGCGCACGUAGGCGGAUUGGAAAGUUGGGGGUGAAAUCCCGGGGCUCAACCCCGGAACUGCCUUAAAAACUCCCAGUCUUGAGUUCGAGAGAGGUGAGUGGAAUUCCGAGUGUAGAGGUGAAAUUCGUAGAUAUUCGGAGGAACACCAGUGGCGAAGGCGGCUCACUGGCUCGAUACUGACGCUGAGGUGCGAAAGCGUGGGGAGCAAACAGGAUUAGAUACCCGGGUAGUCC